RNAcentral lists this ribosomal RNA (46 nucleotides) under Veronica salina. RNAcentral's name for it is "partial 26S ribosomal RNA". The record is from RNAcentral. Lineage: Eukaryota; Viridiplantae; Streptophyta; Magnoliopsida; Lamiales; Plantaginaceae.
GACCGCGACCCCAGGUCAGGCGGGACUACCCGCUGAGUUUAAGCAU